UUUGGAAAUUCAAUCUGUCCAAUUGGACCUACUUCCUCUAAUUACUAUACAAUUUUACAAUUGUAAGUUAGUUAUAGCUGCUCCCUUUUUUUUUUUUGAGAGAAAUGCAUCUGUAAUUGAAAGAUGUGUACUUCGAUAAUGACAUAUUGAUGUGCUCAUGUUUUAUCUGAAUGUAGUAGUAGCCUUCCACCACCCUCAUCAGCUGGUCAAGCAUUAUCUGAAUGUGGUCAUGUCAAAAUAGAUGUGCUCAUGUUUUGAAGACUAGCUUGAAAUUUUCUGAUCACCAUCAUACGAGAAGUCUAUGGGUCCAUAUAAUGCAUCCAUUUAAUAACUCCUGAAAUUACUAAGAGUCCACAAUUGAUUAUUUGAUUGUCCUCUCCAAGACCAGGGCUGCUACAAAUAAGAUCAACCUCCAACUCUUUGCCUUGCUCUGCCUCCUAGUAAUAAUGGCUAUCUGCAUCAUAUUCGCAUGGCUCCUUUU
Molecule: long non-coding RNA, 481 nt
Filed under: Elaeis guineensis (African oil palm)
Lineage: Eukaryota; Viridiplantae; Streptophyta; Magnoliopsida; Arecales; Arecaceae
Description: long non-coding RNA (EGUI_LNC075269)
Source: RNAcentral